UGAGGGAAUAUUUGGGGUCAAUGGGCGAGAGCCUGAACCAGCCAAGUAGCGUGCAGGAUGACGGCCCUAUGGGUUGUAAACUGCUUUUAUAAGGGAAUAAAGUGGGUCUCGUGAGACUUUUUGCAUGUACCUUAUGAAUAAGGACCGGCUAAUUCCGUGCCAGCAGCCGCGGUAAUACGGAAGGUCCGGGCGUUAUCCGGAUUUAUUGGGUUUAAAGGGAGCGUAGGCCGGAGAUUAAGCGUGUUGUGAAAUGUAGUGGCUCAACCUCUGCACUGCAGCGCGAACUGGUCUUCUUGAGUACGCACAACGUGGGCGGAAUUCGUGGUGUAGCGGUGAAAUGCUUAGAUAUGACGAAGAACUCCGAUUGGGAAGCCAGCUUACUGUAGCGCCACUGACGCUGAUGCU
Molecule: ribosomal RNA, 405 nt
Filed under: uncultured Prevotella sp.
Lineage: Bacteria; Pseudomonadati; Bacteroidota; Bacteroidia; Bacteroidales; Prevotellaceae
Description: bacterial SSU rRNA
Rfam family: Bacterial small subunit ribosomal RNA
Source: RNAcentral